This 512-nucleotide ribosomal RNA is filed under the name uncultured bacterium. RNAcentral describes it as "partial 16S ribosomal RNA". It matches the Rfam family "Bacterial small subunit ribosomal RNA", at positions 28 to 507 of the family's 1533-position model. The record is from RNAcentral.
GAUGAACGCUGGCGGCGUGCCUAAUACAUGCAAGUCGAACGAAACUUCUUUAUCACCGAGUGCUUGCACUCACCGAUAAAGAGUUGAGUGGCGAACGGGUGAGUAACACGUGGGCAACCUGCCCAAAAGAGGGGGAUAACACUUGGAAACAGGUGCUAAUACCGCAUAACCAUAGUUACCGCAUGGUAACUAUGUAAAAGGUGGCUAUACUACCGCUUUUGGAUGGGCCCGCGGCGCAUUAGCUAGUUGGUAGGGUAAAGGCUUACCAAGGCAAUGAUGCGUAACCGAAUUGAGAGGUUGAUCGGCCACAUUGGGACUGAGACACGGCCCAAACUCCUACGGGAGGCAGCAGUAGGGAAUCUUCCACAAUGGGCGAAAGCCUGAUGGAGCAACGCCGCGUGGGUGAAGAAGGUCUUCGGAUCGUAAAACCCUGUUGUUAGAGAAGAAAGUGCGUGAGAGUAACUGUUCACGUUUCGACGGUAUCUAACCAGAAAGCCACGGCUAACUACGUG